GAUGAACGCUAGCGGCAGGCCUAACACAUGCAAGUCGAACGGUAACAUGAGUAGCAAUACUUGAUGACGAGUGGCGCACGGGUGCGUAACGCGUAUGCAACUUACCUCUAACUGGGGAAUAGCCUUCCGAAAGGAAGAAUAAUACCCCAUAAUAUUUCGAUGUGGCAUCACAUUGUUCUUAAAGCUUCGGCGGUUAGAGAUGGGCAUGCGUCUGAUUAGCUUGUUGGUGAGGUAAUGGCUCACCAAGGCAACGAUCAGUAGGGGGCCUGAGAGGGUUAUCCCCCACACUGGUACUGAGACACGGACCAGACUCCUACGGGAGGCAGCAGUGAGGAAUAUUGGUCAAUGGACGAAAGUCUGAACCAGCCAUGCCGCGUGCAGGAUGAAUGCCCUAUGGGUUGUAAACUGCUUUUAUAUAGGAAUAAACCCCCUCUCGUGAGAGGGGCUGAAGGUACUAUAAGAAUAAGGACCGGCUAACUCCGUGCCAG
This 488-nucleotide ribosomal RNA is filed under the name uncultured bacterium. RNAcentral describes it as "bacterial SSU rRNA". It matches the Rfam family "Bacterial small subunit ribosomal RNA", at positions 28 to 511 of the family's 1533-position model. The record is from RNAcentral.